UACGUAGGUGGCAAGCGUUGUCCGGAUUUACUGGGCGUAAAGAGUAUGUAGGCGGAUAUUUAAGUAGAAAGUGAAAGGUUGGAGCUCAACUCCAACAUUGCUUCCUAUACUGGAUAUCUUGAGUGCUGGAGAGGAAAGCGGAACGACACGUGUAGCGGUGAAAUGCGUUGAUAUGUGUCGGAACACCAAUGGCGAAGGCAGCUUUCUGGACAGAGACUGACGCUGAGAUACGAAAGCGUGGGUAGCGAACAGG
This 253-nucleotide ribosomal RNA is filed under the name uncultured prokaryote. RNAcentral's name for it is "partial 16S ribosomal RNA". It matches the Rfam family "Bacterial small subunit ribosomal RNA", at positions 524 to 776 of the family's 1533-position model. The record is from RNAcentral.